GACGAACGCUUGCGACGUGCCUAAGAAAUGCAAGUCGAACGGGGGUAGCAAUACCUAGUGGCGAACGGUCGCGUAACACGUGGGCAACCUGCCCCAGAGCGGGGGACAACAGUCCGAAAGGGCUGCUAAUACCGCAUGUGGACUGUGAAGGCAUCUUCAUUGUUCCAAAGCCGCAAGGCACUCUGGGAUGGGCCCGCGGCCUAUCAGCUUGUUGGUGGGGUAACGGCCUACCAAGGCUCGACGGGUAGCUGGUCUGAGAGGACGAUCAGCCGGAUUGGGGACUGAGAUACGGCCCAGACUCCUACGGGGGGCAGCAAUUAGGAAUCUUGCACAAUGGGCGAAAGCCUGAUGCAGCGACGUCGCGUGGAGGAUGAAAUCUUUCGGGAUGUAAACUCCUUUUAUUUGGGAAGAAACCCACGUUUUCUAAUGUGGUUG
This 435-nucleotide ribosomal RNA is filed under the name uncultured bacterium. RNAcentral's name for it is "bacterial SSU rRNA". It matches the Rfam family "Bacterial small subunit ribosomal RNA", at positions 28 to 471 of the family's 1533-position model. The record is from RNAcentral.